AACAAACGCUGGCGGCGUGUCUUAGGCAUGCAAGUUGAGCGGCAAGGAGGAGAGAUCCUCCCUAGAGCGGCGGACUGGUGAGUAACGCGUGGGUAAUCUAUCGUAGGCAUGGGGAUAGUCACUAGAAAUAGUGGGUAAUACCGAAUACGUUCCAUGAGGGGAGUACUUAUGGAAGAAAGGGUGCUACGGCACUGGCCUUAGGUGAGCUCGCGUCCCAUUAGCUAGUUGGUGAGGUAAAGGCCCACCAAGGCGAUGAUGGGUAGCCGGCCUGAGAGGGUGUACGGCCACACUGGGACUGAGAUACGGCCCAGACUCCUACGGGAGGCAGCAGCUAAGAAUAUUCCGCAAUGGACGAAAGUCUGACGGAGCGACGCCGCGUGGAUGAAGAAGGCCGAAAGGUUGUAAAGUUCUUUUGCUAGGGGAGAAUAAGUGAGGGAGGGAAUGCCCUCAUGAUGACAAGGACUAGCGAAUAAGCCCCGGCAACUACGUGCCAGCAGCCGAC
Molecule: ribosomal RNA, 502 nt
Filed under: uncultured bacterium
Lineage: Bacteria
Description: bacterial SSU rRNA
Rfam family: Bacterial small subunit ribosomal RNA
Source: RNAcentral